RNAcentral lists this transfer RNA (74 nucleotides) under Dermacentor andersoni. RNAcentral describes it as "transfer RNA isoleucine (anticodon AAU)". It matches the Rfam family "tRNA". Rfam says of the family: Transfer RNA (tRNA) molecules are approximately 80 nucleotides in length. Their secondary structure includes four short double-helical elements and three loops (D, anti-codon, and T loops). The record is from RNAcentral. Lineage: Eukaryota; Metazoa; Arthropoda; Arachnida; Ixodida; Ixodidae.
GGCCUGCGAGCUCAGUCGGUUAGAGCGUCGUACUAAUAACGCGAAGGUCGUAGGUUCGAUCCCUGCGCAGGCCA